GAUGAACACUGGCGGCGUGCCUAAUACAUGCAAGUCGAGCGAACGGACGAGAAGCUUGCUUCUCUGAUGUUAGCGGCGGACGGGUGAGUAACACGUGGAUAACCUACCUAUAAGACUGGGAUAACUUCGGGAAACCGGAGCUAAUACCGGAUGAUAUUUUGAACCGCAUGGUUCAAAAGUGAAAGACGGUCUUGCUGUCACUUAUAGAUGGAUCCGCGCUGCAUUAGCUAGUUGGUAAGGUAACGGCUUGCCAAGGCAACGAUGCAUAGCCGACCUGAGAGGGUGAUCGGCCACACUGGAACUGAGACACGGUCCAGACUCCUACGGGAGGCAGCAGUAGGGAAUCUUCCGCAAUGGGCGAAAGCCUGACGGAGCAACGCCGCGUGAGUGAUGAAGGUCUUCGGAUCGUAAAACUCUGUUAUUAGGGAAGAACAUAUGUGUAAGUAACUGUGCACAUCUUGACGGUACCUAAUCAGAAAGCCACGGCUAACUACGUG
This 497-nucleotide ribosomal RNA is filed under the name uncultured bacterium. RNAcentral describes it as "partial 16S ribosomal RNA". It matches the Rfam family "Bacterial small subunit ribosomal RNA", at positions 28 to 507 of the family's 1533-position model. The record is from RNAcentral.